This 426-nucleotide ribosomal RNA is filed under the name Triticum aestivum (bread wheat). Its description in RNAcentral is "partial small subunit ribosomal RNA". Lineage: Eukaryota; Viridiplantae; Streptophyta; Magnoliopsida; Poales; Poaceae. The record is from RNAcentral.
AUGUCCGGAGCAGGAGGCAAAUGGGUGACUUCCAUCGUGAAGGAGGAGAACAUCGCAAGUCUUCGGGCGACCGGAUACUUGGCCGCAGACAUAGCGCACCGGCUACCAGACGGCGGGCAGGUCAUUCCAACUCCAGGACCCCACGAGAGGGUCGUGUUUCUUGCCCACUUCGUCCGUGGACUGGGGUUUCCACUCCACCCCUUCGUCCGUGGGCUCAUGUUCUACUACGGGCUAGAUUUCCAUGAUCUAGCCCCGAACUUCGUCCUCAACAUCUCGGCGUUCAUUGUUGUAUACGAGGCUUUCCUCCGCAUCAAGCCUCAUUUCGGCUUGUGGCUGCAAACCUUCUGCGUGAAGCCGAAGAUCGUGAGCGGCCAGCAAGCAGAGUGCGGAGGAGCCAUGGUGGGCAAAAUGCCUAACGUCACCUAG